AUGAACGCUGGCGGCGUGCCUAAUCCAUGCCAGUCGAGCGAACAGACGAGGAGCUUGCUCCUCUGACGUUAGCGGCGGACGGGUGAGUAACACGUGGAUAACCUACCUAUAAGACUGGGAUAACUUCGGGAAACCGGAGCUAAUACCGGAUAAUAUAUUGAACCGCAUGGUUCAAUAGCGAAAGACGGUUUUGCUGUCACUUAUAGAUGGAUCCGCGCCGCAUUAGCUAGUUGGUAAGGUAACGGCUUACCAAGGCAACGAUGCGUAGCCGACCUGAGAGGGUGAUCGGCCACACUGGAACUGAGACACGGUCCAGACUCCUACGGGAGGCAGCAGUAGGGAAUCUUCCGCAAUGGGCGAAAGCCUGACGGAGCAACGCCGCGUGAGUGAUGAAGGUCUUCGGAUCGUAAAACUCUGUUAUUAGGGAAGAACAAAUGUGUAAGUAACUAUGCACGUCUUGACGGUACCUAAUCAGAAAGCCACGGCUAACUACGUG
RNAcentral lists this ribosomal RNA (496 nucleotides) under uncultured bacterium. Its description in RNAcentral is "partial 16S ribosomal RNA". It matches the Rfam family "Bacterial small subunit ribosomal RNA", at positions 29 to 507 of the family's 1533-position model. The record is from RNAcentral.